GACGAACGCUGGCGGCGUGCUUAACACAUGCAAGUCGAACGAUGAAGCCUAGCUUGCUAGGUGGAUUAGUGGCGAACGGGUGAGUAAUACGUGAGUGACCUACCUUUGACUCUGGGAUAAGCCUGGGAAACUGGGUCUAAUACCGGAUACGACCAAUCUCCGCAUGGGGUGUUGGUGGAAAGCGUUAUGGAGUGGUUUUAGAUGGGCUCACGGCCUUUCAGCUUGUUGGUGAGGUAAUGGCUUACCAAGGCGACGACGGGUAGCCGGCCUGAGAGGGUGACCGGCCACACUGGGACUGAGACACGGCCCAGACUCCUACGGGAGGCAGCAGUGGGGAAUAUUGCACAAUGGGCGCAAGCCUGAUGCAGCGACGCCGCGUGAGGGAUGACGGCCUUCGGGUUGUAAACCUCUGUUAGCAUCGAAGAAGCGAAAGUGACGGUAGGUGCAGAGAAAGCGCCGGCUAACUACGUG
Molecule: ribosomal RNA, 471 nt
Filed under: uncultured bacterium
Lineage: Bacteria
Description: partial 16S ribosomal RNA
Rfam family: Bacterial small subunit ribosomal RNA
Source: RNAcentral